AUGGCGGUCUCCUCGCCUUCUUCAGCUCCGGAGAAGAAGAGGAAAUGGCUCCAAAGCAACAGGAAGGUGAUCGACAGGUACCUUCGGGAGGCGCGGGCGAUUCUCGCGACGGCGCCGGAUACCGGCGGCGGGGACGCUGUGGCGGCGCUCGGUCUCAUCGACGCCGCGCUGGAGCUUUCGCCGCGGAUGGAGGCCGCGCUGGAGCUGCGGGCGCGGGCGCUCCUCGCGCUGCGGCGGUACCGCGAGGUCGCGGAGAUGCUCCGUGACUACAUCCCCAGCUGCGGCAAAUCCUGCUCCGGCGAGGAUGCCUCCUCCUCCUCCUCCUUGUCCUCCUGCAGCUCCGGUGACCUUGGCACGAUCUCCCGUGCCAAGCUCCUCUCUCCCGAGCGCCACCGCUCCGACGCGGCCGAGACUGACACUGGGACCGCCCGCUCCUUCCGCUGCUUCGAUGUCUCCGAGCUCAAGCGCCGCGUCCUAGCCGGCCUCUCUAAGAACCCCAACACGGACACGCAGUGGAGGUACUUGGUCCUUGGGGAAGCUUGCUUUCACCUGGGCCUCAUCGAAGAUGCCAUGGUUCUUCUCCAGACCGGCCGCCGCCUCGCCUCGGCGGCUUUCCGCCGCGAGAGCGUUUGUUGGUCCGAGGACAGCUUCUCGUCAUCGACUGUCACCGCAGCUGUUGCCUCGGUGCCGUCGGGCAACGCUUCCAAGUCCGGGCCGGCGUUCAUCAUACCGGCCGUGGAGUCGGAGGCCAUGUCCCAGCUCCUGGCUCACGUGAAGCUCCUGCUCCGCCGCCGCACGGCCGCCAUGGCGGCCCUCGACGCGGGCCUCCCAGCGGAGGCCGUCCGCCAUUUCUCCAAGAUACUCGAGGCACGCCGUGGCGUGCUCCCGCACACCUUCGCCGCCGCGUGCCUCGUCGGCCGCGCCGCGUCAUUCCAGGCUGGCGGCCGCCCGGCAGACGCCAUAGCAGAUUGCAACCGUGCGCUGGCUCUCGACCCCGCGUACAUCCCGGCGCUCCGCGCCCGUGCCGAUCUUCUUCAGUCCGUGGGAGCACUCUCCGAUUCCCUUCGUGACCUUGACCACCUCAAACUUCUGUACGACGCGGCGCUCCGUGACGGCAAGCUGCCGGGGCCUAGGUGGCGACCGCAGGGUGGCGUGCGGUACCGCGAGAUCGCCGGCGCCCACCGCAAGCUGAUCGCCCGGAUUCAGGGACUACGUAGCCGCGCCGCCGUCGGCGAGGGGUGCAACAUCGAUUACUACGCUCUGCUGGGCGUGCGGCGCGGGUGCACGCGCUCUGAGCUGGAGCGCGCGCACUUGCUGCUCUCGCUCAAGCUCAAGCCGGACCGCGCCGUGGUGUUCGGCGAGCGGCUGGAGCUGGUGGACGAGCACCGCGACCUGGAGGCGGUGCGCGACCAGGCCCGCAUGUCCGCUCUGCUCUUGUACAGGAUGCUGCAGAAGGGGUACUCGUUCAUCAUGUCGGCCGUGAUCGACGAGGAGGCUGCCGCUAGGCAGAGGGCGAAAGAAGCCGCGACCGCCGCGGCGGCGUUGCCCAAGCAACAGCAAGCCGCGCCGGUACCGGAGAAUCCUCCUGCCGUUAACAGCUCCACCGCGAGGACGGCGGCGAAACCGAAGGCGAAGGCUGGCGCGGCCGUUGCAACGCUGUCGUCCCAGGCGACGGCGCCGGUGUACCAAGGGGUGUUCUGCCGCGACCUGGCGGUGGUGGGCACGCUGCUGUCCCGCAGCGGGUUCGACCGCUCCCUCCCGGUGAAAUGCGAGGCGAUGAGCUGCUGA
RNAcentral lists this ribosomal RNA (1788 nucleotides) under Triticum aestivum (bread wheat). Its description in RNAcentral is "partial small subunit ribosomal RNA". The record is from RNAcentral. Lineage: Eukaryota; Viridiplantae; Streptophyta; Magnoliopsida; Poales; Poaceae.